Molecule: ribosomal RNA, 539 nt
Filed under: Bifidobacterium longum subsp. infantis
Lineage: Bacteria; Bacillati; Actinomycetota; Actinomycetes; Bifidobacteriales; Bifidobacteriaceae
Also listed under: 2 other names
Description: bacterial SSU rRNA
Rfam family: Bacterial small subunit ribosomal RNA
Source: RNAcentral
CGGGUGGUAAUGCCGGAUGCUCCAGUUGAUCGCAUGGUCUUCUGGGAAAGCUUUCGCGGUAUGGGAUGGGGUCGCGUCCUAUCAGCUUGACGGCGGGGUAACGGCCCACCGUGGCUUCGACGGGUAGCCGGCCUGAGAGGGCGACCGGCCACAUUGGGACUGAGAUACGGCCCAGACUCCUACGGGAGGCAGCAGUGGGGAAUAUUGCACAAUGGGCGCAAGCCUGAUGCAGCGACGCCGCGUGAGGGAUGGAGGCCUUCGGGUUGUAAACCUCUUUUAUCGGGGAGCAAGCGAGAGUGAGUUUACCCGUUGAAUAAGCACCGGCUAACUACGUGCCAGCAGCCGCGGUAAUACGUAGGGUGCAAGCGUUAUCCGGAAUUAUUGGGCGUAAAGGGCUCGUAGGCGGUUCGUCGCGUCCGGUGUGAAAGUCCAUCGCUUAACGGUGGAUCCGCGCCGGGUACGGGCGGGCUUGAGUGCGGUAGGGGAGACUGGAAUUCCCGGUGUAACGGUGGAAUGUGUAGAUAUCGGAAAGAACACCA